GAUGAACGCUGGCGGUAUGCUUAACACAUGCAAGUCGAACGGACUCUUCGGAGUUAGUGGCGGACGGGUGAGUAACGCGUGAGAAUCUGGCUUUGGGUUCGGGACAACCACUGGAAACGGUGGCUAAUACCGGAUGUGCCGAGAGGUAAAAGAGAAAUUGCCUGAAGAUGAGCUCGCGUCUGAUUAGCUAGUUGGUGAGGUAAAGGCUCACCAAGGCAGCGAUCAGUAGCUGGUCUGAGAGGAUGACCAGCCACACUGGGACUGAGACACGGCCCAGAGCCCUCGGGCUGGAGCCAGCAGGAAAUUUACCGGAAUGGGCAAAAGCUCUACGGGCAAAUUCCCUGUAAGGAAACAAGCAGCUUGGGUUGUAAUCCCUUUUCUUGAGGUAGCACAAAAUCACCGGUCCCUAGGAAACCGCUAUCGAUGACUCCGUG
Molecule: ribosomal RNA, 434 nt
Filed under: uncultured bacterium
Lineage: Bacteria
Description: partial 16S ribosomal RNA
Rfam family: Bacterial small subunit ribosomal RNA
Source: RNAcentral